CUUUGGAUACUCUCCCUCUCUCAAACUCUCUCGAAGGUUUCCCAGAGCCCUAGCCUCUCUCUUCCUCUCCGACCAUAACCUCACCGGAAUCCAUGGCUUCUCCGGCUAUAGAUGGCUUGUACUUCGCCCCCCACCACCAUUAAACCCUUGGUGUCCAAAGUUCCAAGGUCUGAAAUCGAUGGUGUCUUUUUAGAUCUCUACAGAUUCAAGGUUCUAUAGCCUGUCCGGCCUUGCUCUAGCGUAUCCAAGCAUUAGGAGCCUAUUUCUGACCUCUCCAACUCAAGAUUGGACUUUGUUCCAAGCAUUUCUCAUUUCUAGGGUUUCUCUAAAACCCUAAGCUAUUCAAG
Molecule: long non-coding RNA, 347 nt
Filed under: Nicotiana benthamiana
Lineage: Eukaryota; Viridiplantae; Streptophyta; Magnoliopsida; Solanales; Solanaceae
Description: long non-coding RNA (NBEN_LNC021361)
Source: RNAcentral